Molecule: ribosomal RNA, 790 nt
Filed under: uncultured Actinomycetes bacterium
Lineage: Bacteria; Bacillati; Actinomycetota; Actinomycetes
Description: bacterial SSU rRNA
Rfam family: Bacterial small subunit ribosomal RNA
Source: RNAcentral
GCGAACGGGUGAGUAACACGUGAGUAACCUGCCCCCUUCUUUUGGAUAACCGCAUGAAAGUGUGGCUAAUACAGGAUAAUCCAGGCUGGUCGCAUGAUUGGUUUGGGAAAUGCUUUGUUGUGGUGGGGGAUGGGCUCGCGGCCUAUCAGCUUGUUGGUGGGGUGAUGGCCUACCAAGGCGGUGACGGGUAGCCGGCCUGAGAGGGUGGGCGGUCACACUGGGACUGAGAUACGGCCCAGACUCCUACGGGAGGCAGCAGUGGGGGAUUUUGCACAAUGGGCGCAAGCCUGAUGCAGCGACGCCGCGUGAGGGAUGAAGGCCUUCGGGUUGUAAACCUCUUUCGCUGGGUUGAAAGGCCAUGCUUUGGGUGUGGUUGAUUUGAACUGGUAAAGAAGUACCGGCUAACUACGUGCCAGCAGCCGCGGUAAUACGUAGGGUACUAGCGUUGUCCGGAUUUAUUGGGCGUAAAGGGCUUGUAGGUGGUUUGUCGCGUCUGUCGUGAAAUCCUGUGGCUUAACCAUGGGCUUGCGGUGGGUACGGGCAGGCUUGAGUGCGGUAGGGGAGACUGGAAUUCCUGGUGUAGCGGUGAAAUGCGCAGAUAUCAGGAGGAACACCGAUGGCGAAGGCAGGUCUCUGGGCAGUAACUGACGCUGAGGAGCGAAAGCAUGGGUAGCGAACAGGAUUAGAUACCCUGGUAGUCCAUGCCGUAACACGGUGGGCGCUAGGUGUAGGGGGCUUCCACGUCUUCUGUGCCGUAGCUAACGCAUUAAGCGCCCCGCCUGGGAGUACG